Molecule: ribosomal RNA, 879 nt
Filed under: Paraphaeosphaeria sporulosa
Lineage: Eukaryota; Fungi; Ascomycota; Dothideomycetes; Pleosporales; Didymosphaeriaceae
Description: eukaryotic LSU rRNA
Rfam family: Eukaryotic large subunit ribosomal RNA
Source: RNAcentral
CAGGGAUUGCCCUAGUAACGGCGAGUGAAGCGGCAACAGCUCAAAUUUGAAAUCUGGCUCUCUUUGGGGGUCCGAGUUGUAAUUUGCAGAGGAUGCUUUGGCAUUGGCGGCGGUCUAAGUUCCUUGGAACAGGACAUCACAGAGGGUGAGAAUCCCGUACGUGGUCGCCUGCCUUUGCCGUGUAAAGCUCCUUCGACGAGUCGAGUUGUUUGGGAAUGCAGCUCUAAAUGGGAGGUAAAUUUCUUCUAAAGCUAAAUACUGGCCAGAGACCGAUAGCGCACAAGUAGAGUGAUCGAAAGAUGAAAAGUACUUUGGAAAGAGAGUCAAAAAGCACGUGAAAUUGUUGAAAGGGAAGCGCUUGCAGCCAGACUUGCCCGCAGUUGCUCACCUAGGCUUUGGCCUGGGGCACUCUUCUGCGGGCAGGCCAGCAUCAGUUUGGGCGGUUGGAUAAAGGCCUCUGUCACGUAUCUCCCUUCGGGGUGACCUUAUAGGGGAGGCGCAAUGCAACCAGCCCGGACUGAGGUCCGCGCAUCUGCUAGGAUGCUGGCGUAAUGGCUGUAAGCGGCCCGUCUUGAAACACGGACCAAGGAGUCUAACAUCUAUGCGAGUGUUUGGGUGUCAAGCCCGAGCGCGCAAUGAAAGUGAACGGAGGUGGGAACCCUUUGGGUGCACCAUCGACCGAUCCUGAUGUCUUCGGAUGGAUUUGAGUAAGAGCAUAGCUGUUGGGACCCGAAAGAUGGUGAACUAUGCUUGAAUAGGGUGAAGCCAGAGGAAACUCUGGUGGAGGCUCGCAGCGGUUCUGACGUGCAAAUCGAUCGUCAAAUUUGGGCAUAGGGGCGAAAGACUAAUCGAACCAUCUAGUAGCUGGUUCCUGCCGAA